AAAAUGUGGCUGAACCUAGUAAAGCACCUCCCUUACACCGAGGAAAUACCCGUGCAAUUCGAGUCAUUUUGAACA
RNAcentral lists this transfer RNA (75 nucleotides) under Isurus paucus (longfin mako shark). RNAcentral describes it as "tRNA-Val". It matches the Rfam family "tRNA". Rfam says of the family: Transfer RNA (tRNA) molecules are approximately 80 nucleotides in length. Lineage: Eukaryota; Metazoa; Chordata; Chondrichthyes; Lamniformes; Lamnidae. The record is from RNAcentral.